Molecule: ribosomal RNA, 250 nt
Filed under: uncultured bacterium
Lineage: Bacteria
Description: partial 16S ribosomal RNA
Rfam family: Bacterial small subunit ribosomal RNA
Source: RNAcentral
AAUACUUAGGUGCUGGGAGACAUAAAGUUUUUCGGUGCCGUCGCAAACGCAUUAAGUAUUCCACCUGGGGAGUACGUUCGCAAGAAUGAAACUCAAAGGAAUUGACGGGGACCCGCACAAGCGGUGGAGCAUGUGGUUUAAUUCGACGCAACGCGAAGAACCUUACCCGGUCUUGAGAUCCUCCUGAAUACGGGGUAAUGCCUGUAGUCCUUCGGGACAGGAGAGACAGGUGGUGCAUGGCUGUCGUCAG